UUACUAAAUUGGCGGUUAUCUAUUUUUUUGAUCAGUAAAAAUUGGUGGAAAACUAUUGAUAUUGGAGAAUCUCUGUGAUAUGAUGUUAGGUUAUUAUACUAUAUCUAAUGCGUCCAUAAGACAUUAUAAAAGAAAAAAAAUCUAAUGCGUCCGGAAGGGUUUGUGGACGAAUUAUCACCUUGUUCCUUUAUGGCUUUACU
RNAcentral lists this long non-coding RNA (200 nucleotides) under Nicotiana benthamiana. Its description in RNAcentral is "long non-coding RNA (NBEN_LNC033850)". Lineage: Eukaryota; Viridiplantae; Streptophyta; Magnoliopsida; Solanales; Solanaceae. The record is from RNAcentral.